This 71-nucleotide transfer RNA is filed under the name Loxodonta africana (African savanna elephant). It matches the Rfam family "tRNA". Rfam says of the family: Transfer RNA (tRNA) molecules are approximately 80 nucleotides in length. Their secondary structure includes four short double-helical elements and three loops (D, anti-codon, and T loops). The record is from Rfam by way of RNAcentral. Lineage: Eukaryota; Metazoa; Chordata; Mammalia; Proboscidea; Elephantidae.
ACAUUGGUGGUUCAGUGGUAGAACUCUCACCUUCCAGGCAGGAAACCUGGAUUCAAUUUUUGGCCAGUGCG